Long non-coding RNA from Megalobrama amblycephala (Wuchang bream), 2431 nucleotides. RefSeq lists it as uncharacterized. The transcript is spliced from 3 exons. The record is from RefSeq and is a predicted model, not a curated record. NCBI's taxonomy places the organism in Eukaryota, Metazoa, Chordata, Actinopteri, Cypriniformes, Xenocyprididae.
AUGAAUGUGAAAUCACGUUCAGAUCGGUUCACAGACAGUCUUACCGUAAUACCAAGUGUAUGCGCGGACCGCGAAAAUAUAGGGGCGGCUAGAUUGACCGCUCAUUUCUGGGUGGCGGCUGGCUUGACCGCAGUAAACCCAGACAGUGUCCGACUAGAGCCAACAGUGCAGAACACGCCGGAAGAACUGAUAGGAAAGCACAUCCUGAAGCUUUAGAUAAAGUUACAAUUACUUUAGCUUUCAACAUUAUCUUUAGCAAAAAUAAAUAUUCUCAAAGCCAUUGAUGUAGGCAAAGUUAUUUAAGUUGCAUGUUUAAAUAGACGGACAGUGGAAGAACAUACUGUAGAAACACUGUAAUAUAAUACACUGCUGUACAGAAGAGAGUAAAGAAAAGGCUGGAGCGCUGAUCUGUAGAAGUAACAGGUUAAAAACCUUAUCUAGUAUCUGAGCGUAUGAAUGUGUGCAGAAAGAGGAAGGGAUGGUGGUGCUGGCGCUCUGAUGUGCACGAUUAACAGGGUAAAAACCUUCUCGUCGUGUGCGGGCAUGAUGAUACCUGUGCUGUGUGUGGAAGUGGCAGAAUAAACUCUUCUCUAUAAGAUCAACAGAUAUCAAUUCUUUCUUAUUCCCUGAAUAAAGUAUUGACAUGGAAUACAAACACUGAAACUGAAACAAACUUAAAUGAAACCAAAGGGCCAUAAAACUGAACAGAUGAUGGUCUAGAAAGGGAAAAGCACGUUAAUAUUCUCUUAAUUCUGGUUUGAGCAAUAGUUCAGAUUGUACAUUACAAUACUUUAAUAUCUCUAUUGUUCGCCACAAUUCUAUUCAGUUUAUAAGCUGUCAGAAGAGACCAAAUGAUGUAGACAAAAAUCGCUCAUCUGAGAAAGCCUUAAAUUGUUGUAAAGAAAUUAAACAUUGGUUGGCAAAUAAUUUUUUACAAUUAGAUGAGAACAAAACUGAAGUCUCAGGCCUAUAGCUGUCCAGUUAUCAUUGAACGAACAAGAUCAUGUGAGGAAUCUCAGAGUGAGGAAUCUCUACUUUUCAAUAAGCAGAUCAUUUUCAUGAUUUUCAUUCUUAAUCUGGGUUUUCUUAACCCUAAUCUUCAGAUUUUUUCUUCUUUAUUCCUUUAUUCCUUCAUUCUGUAUAAUUUAUUGCAUUCUGUGCAGAGAGUCAAUCAUUUCAUUACAUGUCAUUCUGUGUUUGUUGUGUGUUUGGUGUGGAAUACACACAUCUGGCGUUAUUCCAAAACUUUCUGACUCCAAUCCAAGACCAUGUUGGUACAAACUCUCAGAAAUGCAGUUUAUCUGUUGGCUGUGAUCUUAGGAGGAGUUCCCUGAAUUUCCCCUCAUGCGUCCCUCGUGUUGCUUUAAAUGCUCAAGCUCUCAGAGCCGCAGACAGUGGAGAUUCCCUCCAGAGCUCAUCACGAAAUUAAUAGCAGAAGAUGGAUCAUCAGAAACUGCAGGAAUCAGAAAAUAAAGAGCAAAGAGGACGAGAUUCAUCUGAUGAAGUAGAGAAACAGAUCCUGACACAAGUUCGACGGAACAGCACUGAAAAAGGCAGGCCAAGCUUAGCCAUUGAUGAAGAUGAAAAAAAAGAAGAUGAAAAAGAAAAAGAAGAAGAUGAUGAUGAUGAUGAUGAUGAUGAUGAUGAUGAUGAUGAUGAUGAUGUAUAGUCAGCUAUGAGAAUUUAAAAAUGAACAGAUGAAUGAAGUGUAUAUUUAAAUUGCAGCUUUUGAAAUUUCAUAAAUGCACUAAUCAAUAUUGCAAUAUAGAUUAUUCUUUGAUUUAUUAUGCAGCCAAAGACUAAAGCUGUGUGACACAGCUUUAAAAACUCUCAGAGUUCAGUGUUUGAUCACAUCUGUACUGUUUUCAUAUUUAAAACACUUCUAUUUUCGAUUUCAUUUGAUUUGGUUUUGUAUAUUUUUAAAGAUAUUAAAUUAUUUAAUAGUACAGUAUUCAUUAGUGAAUGUACAUUAAUAAAAGUUAACAGUUCCGUUCUUUCUGGCAAUGAAUGUGUAUGAAAGUAUUUGAUAUUUGUAAAUAUAUUACAUGUUUUUCUGAAUUUUAUAGUUUUAUAGUAAUCGCUGAUGUCAUCACUGUGUCUCCGUUAGAGUUGUUUAAGAAUUUAUAAACUUGGUCAUUUUGAAGCUACAGAUCUUAAAUAUGAUGAUCUUCUUGUGAAGAAACACCUUCCUAAAAUAUAAUCAUCUGUGUUUGUGAAUAAAGAAAGUACAUUAUUUCUCUCUGAAAUCUGAGAUGUUCAACCUUUAGCAUCUUCUUGACACUGGACACCAGUUUGAAAACCUCUGCUUUAAGACAUUAUUUCUGUAAGAUGUUCUGAAGUGCUUCUGAUUUCAUUCCAAUCAUAAUAAAGAUGGAAGAAAACGACUGUCAUGAACUGUGAAAUUCUUGGACAAGAUCCGACAGAAACACAC